Molecule: unclassified non-coding RNA, 253 nt
Filed under: uncultured bacterium
Lineage: Bacteria
Description: contains 16S-23S intergenic spacer region
Rfam family: Bacterial small subunit ribosomal RNA
Source: RNAcentral
UACGGGGGGAGCGAGCGUUGUACGGAAUUACUGGGCGUAAAGGGGGUCUAGGUGGCUGAGUAAGUUAGAUGUGAAAAUUAUCGGCUUAACCGAUAACCUGCAUUUAAAACUGCUCAGCUAGAGUACGGGAGAGGAGAGCGGAAUUCUGUGUGUAGCGGUGAAAUGUGUAGAUAUGCAGAAGAACACCAGUGGCGAAGGCGGCUCUCUGGCCCGAUACUGACGCUGAAGCCCGAAAGCUAGGGGAGCAAACAGG